GCUCCCUUAGCUCAGCUGGAUAGAGCAACUGCCUUCUAAGCAGUGGGCCUCAGGUUCGAAUCCUGAAGGGAGCG
Molecule: transfer RNA, 74 nt
Filed under: Prochlorococcus marinus subsp. pastoris
Lineage: Bacteria; Bacillati; Cyanobacteriota; Cyanophyceae; Synechococcales; Prochlorococcaceae
Also listed under: 3 other names
Description: tRNA-Arg
Rfam family: tRNA
About the family: Transfer RNA (tRNA) molecules are approximately 80 nucleotides in length. Their secondary structure includes four short double-helical elements and three loops (D, anti-codon, and T loops). Further hydrogen bonds mediate the characteristic L-shaped molecular structure. tRNAs have two regions of fundamental functional importance: the anti-codon, which is responsible for specific mRNA codon recognition, and the 3' end, to which the tRNAs corresponding amino acid is attached (by aminoacyl-tRNA synthetases). tRNAs cope with the degeneracy of the genetic code in two manners: having more than one tRNA (with a specific anti-codon) for a particular amino acid; and 'wobble' base-pairing, i.e. permitting non-standard base-pairing at the 3rd anti-codon position.
Source: RNAcentral